RNAcentral lists this unclassified non-coding RNA (402 nucleotides) under soil metagenome. Its description in RNAcentral is "partial contains 5.8S ribosomal RNA, internal transcribed spacer 2, and large subunit ribosomal RNA". The stretch from base 1 to 121 matches the Rfam family "5.8S ribosomal RNA", at positions 35 to 154 of the family's 154-position model. The record is from RNAcentral.
GAUGAAGAACGUAGCGAAAUGCGAUAAGUAAUGUGAAUUGCAGAAUUCAGUGUAUCAUCGAAUCUUUGAACGCACCUUGCACCCUUUGGCUAUUCCGAAGGGUAUGCCUGUUUGAGUAUCAUGAACACCUCAACUCUCAUGGUUUGCCAUGAUGAGCUUGGACUUUGGGGGUCUUGCUGGCCUGUGGUCAGCUCCUCUCAAAUGGAUUAGCUUGCCAGUGUUUGGUGGCAUCACAGGUGUGAUAACUAUCUACGCUUGUGGUUUUCCACCAGGUAACCUUCAGCAAUGGGGGUUCGCUGGGGCUCAUAAAUGUCUCUCCUCAGUGAGGACAGCUCUUUGAACGUUUGAUCUCAAAUCAGGUAGGACUACCCGCUGAACUUAAGCAUAUCAAUAAGCGGAGGA